This is a long non-coding RNA of Halichondria panicea, 426 nucleotides long. RefSeq lists it as uncharacterized. Lineage: Eukaryota; Metazoa; Porifera; Demospongiae; Suberitida; Halichondriidae. The transcript is spliced from 3 exons. The record is from RefSeq and is a predicted model, not a curated record.
AUGAAGUGUUCUCAACAGUAUAAUUAUAAGACUUUAAUAGGUAUGACUGUGACUACACCAAGUGGAUGAUGAUACUUCUGUGAGAGGUGAGGGACAAACAUAAAGUGUCUAGUUUUCUGAAAUUCCUUAAACUGGCAAGCUUGACAUGCGAGAACAAACGAAACAAACAGACGAAUGGAUAGAAGUGGCGUCAUUGUUGGAUAUCCUCUUGGUGGACUCUGCGUGGUCAAGAGUGAUCGGUCUGCUAUACUUGUGAGUCCAGUAUGUUACACCAAGAAGAACUAUUCCUUGGGCUAAUUAAUUUAAAACUGUCCUUCUAAUUUAACAUUGUAUACCAUUGUCUCACUCAGUUGUCACGAACGUUUCCUAUCACUAUUUUUGUAUUAACAUGUUAUUUAUUGAAUUGAAUAAUAAUUGUUAUACCGA